RNAcentral lists this ribosomal RNA (33 nucleotides) under Aphelenchus avenae. RNAcentral's name for it is "partial 18S ribosomal RNA". The record is from RNAcentral. Lineage: Eukaryota; Metazoa; Nematoda; Chromadorea; Rhabditida; Aphelenchidae.
GUUUCCGUAGGUGAACCUGCAGCUGGAUCACUA